Molecule: long non-coding RNA, 1537 nt
Organism: Mustela lutreola (European mink)
Lineage: Eukaryota; Metazoa; Chordata; Mammalia; Carnivora; Mustelidae
Exons: 2
Source: RefSeq, a predicted model, not a curated record
AGGCUCUGGCUGAAAACCUUGGUCCGGUCAGACCUCGGGAGACCGUGGUGGCCGGGGAAGAGGUGUGUGCUAGAUGCCCAUCCUAGGGGCAGUUGCACUCAGCUCCAGCCCCAGCUUGCCCUUCCCUUCUUCCUGAAGAAGCCAGGAAGCCACAUUUUUAACAGGAUGGUCUCAAUUUGGCAAUGUCAGCAACUAUUUCAAAAGCGCUGGAAAUGCUGAGCUGACGACACCAACCCUCCCUCAGGCACUGGCAGGCUUGUGGCUCACGACGGAGUACACUGGCAUUCACUGAAUGUUUGUCCACAGUCUCUAGUGGAAAGUUCUCAAGGAACUUGAAGAAGAAAGAGGAAGCAAAGAGUGCUACUACACAGAAUUAGGACCAAGAGCCUCUUGAACUCCUCAGAGAGCUGGCCCAUCUUUGGGCAUCUCCACAAAUUAAAGGCCCAGAGCCCCCAGGCACACAACUGAACACCAGAUCACUGGCUGCUAUGGUGACUGCCAUUCGCAGGGACCAAUCCACCUUUCUUCACUUAGCCCAGAGGUAGCAUUAAUGAAUAACACUGGUCAACCACAUCGCAAAGGGGCCAUUCGACAAGAAUCCUGGCCUGUUCUGGGCAGUAUCUUAAUUAUAGAAAAGAAAAAUCCUGCUUUCAUUGCAUAUUAAUUAUCAGAACACUUUACUGGAAUUCUGCUGAGGAACUGAGGGUCUGAGGGAACGAUGUGUGGCAGGGCCCACACCAUGCGAUGUGCUGUGGGCCCAACCCCAAAGCCUUGCUGGGAGGUGCUGAGCCAGGGCACAGGGUCAGCCUGUGGGCUCCAUGCACCGUGGCCCCGGGGGACAGCCAACCAGGAGGGAAGGCGUGGGCUCACCUUUGGUAGCGUAGGCUUCCGCAAUCAUGCGCAGCCUGUAGGGAGGGACGGCUGUCAGCGGCAGGUCAUCGAGGCCCACCCGGGCAUAGAUGUUGAGAGCCUCCUUAUAAUCUCCUUCCACAUAAUUCAACUUGGCCAUGAUCAGAUUGGAUUCUUGUAGGAACUCUGACUAGAAGGAAAAGGAGAGAGAAAAACAUUUUCCUACAAUGCUAUGAGUAAUGCUCCCUCGGGGACCCACCACCUGCUGCCACAAAGCCUUGGGGCUGGCUCUCCACACGAAAUCACGAAAUCACGCACAUGAAGGUUCACAGCAGAACUGUUCAGCAUGGCCCCAGGACGGGCAACAACCCGAAUGCCCACUAACGGGGGAGUGGAUAAGGAAAAUGUGAUCUGGCCUCACAGAGGAGUAUAACUCAGCCACAGUGUGGAAGGAAACAUUGCCCCAUGCUUACAACAGGGAUGACCCUUGGAAACACCUUGGCAGGUGAAAAAGCCAAUCAUAAAAGGCAACAUGUUGUCUGCUUUCAUGGACAUGAAAUGGCCCGAGCAGUCAAAGCUAUGGAGGCAGAAAGUAGAUUAGUGUGUGUGCCUAGGGCUGGAGGGUGGGGGGAAUGGCAGGUGACUGCUAAUGGCUUUAUUUUAAAUAAAUAAAUUUUAAAUAAAUAAA